AGUUGUAUUGAAGAAGAAGUGAUAAUAAAUCCAAGCGAGGCAAUGUCUUUCGUCUGCAGCUAGGACCUUGAUGGAGUCACGAAAAUGUAGGCCAAUCGUGCAUCCGAGCUGGGUGCAAGAUUGAUCAUCACAUUACUGUAUUUGUGUGAUGGAAUCUACAUUCAUGCAUGUUGUAUGUACGUGUACACUACACAUACUUAGUUUGUUUUUGGGAAUUGAUGCAAAAGGACAUUAUGAAAAUGAGAGACCGAUCCGAUGAUGCAUGACAGAUUGACGGGCAAAGGCAGUUAUGCAUGACACGGUGCCCAAAUGUAGGGCAUUCGGUAAUUCAGAUAAAGUGCAUGCAUAUACAUACCUUAUCAAUGCAAACAACUUGCUAAGCAAGCUAGCUAUAUGUAUAGUGUAUUGUUCCAUUGCUGCUAUAUAAGACAUCACAUAAGAGAACACACCUAGUUAGCCAGCUAGCCCUUGAACAUGGAUCAUCUG
This 486-nucleotide long non-coding RNA is filed under the name Hordeum vulgare. Its description in RNAcentral is "long non-coding RNA (HVUL_LNC020565)". Lineage: Eukaryota; Viridiplantae; Streptophyta; Magnoliopsida; Poales; Poaceae. The record is from RNAcentral.